Molecule: long non-coding RNA, 401 nt
Organism: Nothobranchius furzeri (turquoise killifish)
Lineage: Eukaryota; Metazoa; Chordata; Actinopteri; Cyprinodontiformes; Nothobranchiidae
Source: RefSeq, a predicted model, not a curated record
AGGUUAGAGAGGCAGGAUGACCUCUGGGCACCCAGGUCCGGUAGAUUGACUGCGAGCACCGACUUCUCCGGUCCAAAAGAUAUCACCACGCAGCACAGGUGUGAGGACCUUGUCGUCAAAACAUCUGAGGAGACAGAAAAAUGGGAACGAUGAUGCAUUCUGGAUAAUUGGAGUGUCGAGAAAACCGGAUGACUUUUGAACGUUUUGAAGUCUCCUCGACGAGGGAGUGGAGAGCCGGACCAGAACACAUCAUCUCCUUUUCCAAGGGUGAUGAACGAGAUGUACUGAACCUCACUGAGGAAACAGCACCGGCAGGAUUCAGCAGUGUGGUAGGACUGACUUUGGGUUGCAAUGAUUAUAAAUUUAUAAAAAAAAUUUGCCCCCUCAGAGUUUUCAUGAAU